Long non-coding RNA from Oryctolagus cuniculus (rabbit), 1573 nucleotides. NCBI's taxonomy places the organism in Eukaryota, Metazoa, Chordata, Mammalia, Lagomorpha, Leporidae. The record is from Ensembl.
AUUUUGCUUUCUCUUUACUAUCACACUUUCCUGUUCUACUAGUUUCUGAGUUUCAUUUUGAUUCUUCCUUAAAAUUUCAUUUUCACGAAAGAGAUUUUCAAUCCUGUCCAAUAAGGAUUUCUGUAGUUCAAGGAUUUGCUUUUGAAAACUUCUAAAUGUUCUUAUCAUAAAUUUUUUGAAAUCUGCUUCUUGCAUUUCUUCUAUCUCUUCAUCUUCAUAAUCUUGGCUUGGAGUGUUUUGUUUAUUUGGAAGUGUCAUAGUGUCAUCGUUGAUCUUGAUCUUGUUCCCUCAGUUUCUGUGUUUAUUGCAUGGUUAAUUCUGUUUCUCUCACUGUGAGUUUUUUUUUUUUACUAUGUCCGUGUUAAGUGGACUGCCUGCUGUUGGAGGAGCCUUGGAGGCUUGAGAUGGGUGUGGCCUGAGAGCUCUGCUUGGUUCUUCAGGGUUACAGGUGUGCAAAGGUGACACCCUCAGGUUAUGCGUGGUAAAUCUCUAUUUAUUUAUUCAUUCAUUUAUUUUAUUUUAUUUUAUUUUAUUUUAUUUUAUUUUAUUUUUUAUUCAGGAUGUAAGUAAUACUGCAAGGCUGAGCAGAAUGGAUGGUAUUUAGCUUCCGAUCUCUGGUAUCUCAGAAGCCUGGAUAUCAAGUCUUGGGCUCCCAAAGACAUUGUUACAGGAAACUUCACAUCCAGCUUAAGGAUGCGUCUGUAUGUCUCAGUGUGAGAGACGCUCUCGAAGGGUGGAUUUCCCACCAGCAGCUCAUAGCAGAGCACCCCAAAGUGUUUUACUGCCAUUUUCUGCACAGAUUUUUUUUAAAGAUUUAUUUAUUUAUGUGAAAGGCAGAGUUAUAGAGGGGCAGAAACAGCGAGAGGUCUUCCAUCUGCUGGUUCACGCACCAGAUGGCUACAAUGGCCAAAGCUGAGCUGAUUCAAAGCCAAGAGCUUUUGGAGCUUCUUCCAGGUCUCCCAUACAGGUGCAGAGGCCCAUGUAUGUGGGCCAUCUUCCUCUACUCUCCCAGGCCAUAGCAGAGAGCUGGAUAGGAAGUGGAGCACCUGGGACUCAAACCAGUGCCCAUAUGGGAUGCUGGCACUGCAGGUGGCAGCUUUACCCACUAUGCCACAGUGCCAGCCUCUCUGCACAGCUUUAUUCUGCAGAUGCAUCACCAUUCUAUAUCAAUGAAACCAAGAACACACUACUAUUUCUAUACCUAUAAUGAAAGCCAGAGACAUUAAUAAUCUUUCUGCCAGAAAACUUCCAGUCCAAACCAGGAGUAGAGUUAUGAAUUCAGGCUUAGUGUGGAUGGGGCUGGCACUAUCGUGUGGAGGGUAAAGCCACCACCUGCUUCACCAGCCUGUGUCCUAGAUGGGCACAGGUUCAAGUUUCAGCUGCUCCACAUCGAUCCAUCUCCAUGCUGAGAUACCUAGGAAAACAGCAGAGGUUGGCCUAAGUGCUUGGGCCCCUGCACCCACUUGGGAGACUUGGAAGAAACUCCAGGCUCCUGACUUCAGGUCAGCCCAGCUCUGGCUGUUGCAGUCAUUUGGGGAAUAAACCAGCAGGUGGAAGAUAUUUUUGCCUCUCU